RNAcentral lists this long non-coding RNA (300 nucleotides) under Eucalyptus grandis. RNAcentral describes it as "long non-coding RNA (EGRA_LNC000029)". Lineage: Eukaryota; Viridiplantae; Streptophyta; Magnoliopsida; Myrtales; Myrtaceae. The record is from RNAcentral.
AAGCUUUUCCUUUCCUUUCCUUUCUCAAUGUUUGUUUCCAAUGGCAAAAUUUUCAACUGCAUAAACAUCAAUUGGACUUUAAAGUGGCGAUCCAUUUUCAUCCCAUUUAUGCUUGUAAAUGAUCAAAUAUUCAUGCUGACAUAACAAAAUUUAUACCUAAGUUAGCAAUUGGGAUACUGACUUUUGAGGCUUCCAUUUCUCUUAGCAUAUGAGAUCAACUCUUCAUUUUCUUCUAUCUGCUGGAAAUUCCCCCACCAUGAGAUAAUCAAACGUGAACUCUCCUCAAUUCAUGUCUAAAAG